RNAcentral lists this ribosomal RNA (292 nucleotides) under uncultured bacterium. Its description in RNAcentral is "partial 16S ribosomal RNA". It matches the Rfam family "Bacterial small subunit ribosomal RNA", at positions 505 to 796 of the family's 1533-position model. The record is from RNAcentral.
GUGUCAGCAGCCGCGGUAAGACAGAGGGUGCAAACGUUGCUCGGAAUUACUGGGCGUAAAGCGUGUGUAGGCUGCCCUAUAAGUCGGAUGUGAAAGCCCCAGGCUCAACCUGGGAAGUGCACUCGAUACUGUAGGGCUUGAGUAUCGGAGAGGUUGGUGGAAUUCUCGGUGUAGAGGUGAAAUUCGUAGAUAUCGAGAGGAACACCGGUGGCGAAGGCGGCCAACUGGACGAAUACUGACGCUGAGACACGAAAGCGUGGGGAGCAAACAGGAUUAGAAACCCCAGUAGUCC